This 209-nucleotide long non-coding RNA is filed under the name Setaria viridis. Its description in RNAcentral is "long non-coding RNA (SVIR_LNC010408)". The record is from RNAcentral. Lineage: Eukaryota; Viridiplantae; Streptophyta; Magnoliopsida; Poales; Poaceae.
UCUUUAGGAGUGGCUCUAUUUAGAUAUCUAAAAUCAAUGCAAACUCGAACUUAGAGAUCAACUCAACAUACUCAUAUAUAUAUAGAAAAUUAUCUAUAUGCUAUUGGAAAUUUAACCCAUCCCUUGUAUGCCAUCCAAAUUUAAGUCAUCCCUGUCAUUGAAAUUUGAACUCCAUUCCGUGUAAGCCAUUACUAGCACAUUACAAUCAC